AUGGUGAUGAACAUGAUGAUGAUGGAGAUUAAAGAAGAAAACGAUGGUUGCUGUACGCCGAAACGCUCCGAGUUUCGGAUACCGGAGUCGGUGGCGCCUCCUCCCGCGCCGAAAAAGAAGGCGUAUUGGGUGGGGAAGAAGAAGCCGCAGCCGCCGAAGAACGGGUAUUUCAACCCUCCUGAGCUUGAGCUGCUGUUUGCAGUAACUCCAACACGCCAAGCUUUGGAUUAA
RNAcentral lists this long non-coding RNA (231 nucleotides) under Prunus dulcis (almond). Its description in RNAcentral is "sRNA ncRNA". The record is from RNAcentral. Lineage: Eukaryota; Viridiplantae; Streptophyta; Magnoliopsida; Rosales; Rosaceae.